This 490-nucleotide ribosomal RNA is filed under the name uncultured bacterium. RNAcentral's name for it is "partial 16S ribosomal RNA". It matches the Rfam family "Bacterial small subunit ribosomal RNA", at positions 30 to 507 of the family's 1533-position model. The record is from RNAcentral.
AUUGAACGCUGGCGGCAUGCCUUACACAUGCAAGUCGAACGGCAGCAUGAUCUAGCUUGCUAGAUUGAUGGCGAGUGGCGAACGGGUGAGUAAUACAUCGGAACGUGCCCUGUAGUGGGGGAUAACUCGUCGAAAGAUUAGCUAAUACCGCAUACGACCUGAGGGUGAAAGUGGGGGACCGCAAGGCCUCAUGCUAUAGGAGCUGCCGAUGUCUGAUUAGCUAGUUGGUGAGGUAAAGGCUCACCAAGGCGACGAUCAGUAGCUGGUCUGAGAGGACGAUCAGCCACACUGGGACUGAGACAAGGCCCAGACUCCUACGGGAGGCAGCAGUGGGGAAUUUUGGACAAUGGGCGGAAGCCUGAUCCAGCAAUGACGCGUGUGGGAAGAAGGCCUUCGGGUUGUAAAGCACUUUUGUCCGGAAAGAAAUGGCUCUGGUUAAUAACUGGGGUCGAUGACGGUACCGGAAGAAUAAGGACCGGCUAACUACGUG